UCCCUGGCGGUCCAGUGGUUAGGACUCGGCACUUUUACUGCCGUGGACCCGGGUUCAAUCCUCGGUCAGGGAG
This is a non-coding RNA of Physeter macrocephalus (sperm whale), 73 nucleotides long. NCBI's taxonomy places the organism in Eukaryota, Metazoa, Chordata, Mammalia, Artiodactyla, Physeteridae. The record is from the annotation of a RefSeq genome assembly.